AGUGGCGUAGCUAACGCGUUAAGCACCCCGCCUGGGGAGUACGGUCGCAAGAUUAAAACUCAAAGGAAUUGACGGGGACCCGCACAAGCGGUGGAACAUGUGGUUUAAUUCGAAGCAACGCGAAGAACCUUACCAGCCCUUGACAUGGUCGGACGGUUUCCAGAGAUGGAUUCCUUCACUUCGGUGACUGACACACAGGUGCUGCAUGGCUGUCGUCAGCUCGUGUCGUGAGAUGUUGGGUUAAGUCCCGCAACGAGCGCAACCCUCGCCUUUAGUUGCCAUCAUUUAGUUGGGCACUCUAGAGGGACUGCCGGUGAUAAGCCGGAGGAAGGUGGGGAUGACGUUCGUCUGAC
Molecule: unclassified non-coding RNA, 353 nt
Filed under: uncultured Alphaproteobacteria bacterium
Lineage: Bacteria; Pseudomonadati; Pseudomonadota; Alphaproteobacteria
Description: contains 16S-23S intergenic spacer region
Rfam family: Bacterial small subunit ribosomal RNA
Source: RNAcentral